This 358-nucleotide transfer-messenger RNA is filed under the name Clostridium kluyveri. It matches the Rfam family "transfer-messenger RNA". Rfam says of the family: Bacterial tmRNA, also known as 10Sa RNA or SsrA, is named for its dual tRNA and mRNA-like properties. Its role is to liberate the mRNA from a stalled ribosome. RNAcentral also lists the same sequence under 3 other names. Lineage: Bacteria; Bacillati; Bacillota; Clostridia; Eubacteriales; Clostridiaceae. The record is from RNAcentral.
GGGGGCGUAAUUGGUUUCGACGGGGGUAAGAUGUGUUUGAGAAGCGAGUCGAGGGAAUCCUGUGGGCCCGCGUUAAAAAACUAUGGGGUUUAAAUAUAAACGAAAACGAUAAUUUAGCAUUAGCUGCCUAAUAUAGCAGCUCGUCAGCCUAAGAUUCCCACGACUUAGGGUCUGGCGUCGACAGUGGGGAAACGAGUCCAGGAAAGCUUUGACCUGGAAACGGAAUUUAUGAAGCUACUGAACUUAGAAGCCUGUCCUUAGGCGUCUAAGAGAGGGAAUUCUAAAAUAAGGACUGCACUCGGAGAUGCUCAAAUGUUUCUGCUUUCGGACAGGGGUUCGACUCCCCUCGCCUCCACCA